UCCUUUCAUCAACUUGUUACAGAUCCACAAAAAUCUGUCCCUUCUAUAACAGCUAUUGGGUACAAUGGAAUUCAACUCUAGCAAAGUGGCAUUAUAUUUAUAUUAUAACCUAUUGUUUUUGGUGAACGUAGGAUUUGGUACAUGAUAAUGUCCCAGAAAUUUAAUUUUUUUUUUUUAUUUUUGCGAUCCUUCUGAAGUAAUUGUUUGUGCUGAAGCUGUGGCUUCCAGUUUAGAGAAGGCAUUGUUGAGUCUUCAUAUCCAGAAAAGAAACUCCUCGCUCCUCAGUGCAUUAGCUGCGUCAAAGCACAUGUUGGUGUUCUUAAAGAUACGUACAAGCAUUGAUAUUACCAGAAGGUUGUCUGUUCCAGAAAACUGUAUCAGAGCUCUCCCACCUGCUGAAAAGGGUCAGGAAAUGAGUUUGCACGUUAAGGAUAACGAGACUGGGGUCGUGUGGACAUUUCGUUGCAAAAUUCCUGCGGAAGGGUAUUCCAAACCUGUUAUUUUUGGAGAUUGGCUUCAGUUUACUCGCACUAAAGAUCUCAGGCCUGGCAACUGGGUCGCCUUCCAUCAAGAGAUGGAUGAAGCUACUGAAGCUCAGUACAAAAUUGAAGUGAAGAAAAGAGGAUCAGCUUAUUUGAACAGAAAUUGAAGGAAUUCUUUUGUAAUAACACCACUUGAUCAUUUGGUGCAUUGUAAUUUUAUUUUUCCUUUUUCCUCGAGGUGUCAGGCUAUGAACUUCCACAAAAAGAUAGAAACUUGAGAUAUUAGACUAUUAUCACUUGUUGAUGAUGAAGAAAAUAUUGAUUUGGCUUUCAAAGAUAGAAA
Hevea brasiliensis (rubber tree) is the source of this 825-nucleotide long non-coding RNA. RefSeq lists it as uncharacterized. The transcript is spliced from 2 exons. The record is from RefSeq and is a predicted model, not a curated record. Lineage: Eukaryota; Viridiplantae; Streptophyta; Magnoliopsida; Malpighiales; Euphorbiaceae.